This 464-nucleotide ribosomal RNA is filed under the name uncultured bacterium. RNAcentral describes it as "partial 16S ribosomal RNA". It matches the Rfam family "Bacterial small subunit ribosomal RNA", at positions 339 to 795 of the family's 1533-position model. The record is from RNAcentral.
CUACGGGGGGCAGCAGCUAAGAAUCUUCCGCAAUGGGCGCAAGCCUGACGGAGCGACGCCGCGUGAACGAAGAAGGCCGUGAGGUUGUAAAGUUCUUUUCUUGGGGAGGAAUAAGCCCUGCAGGGAAUGGCAGGGUGAUGACGUGAACCGAGGAAUAAGCCCCGGCUAAUUACGUGCCAGCAGCCGCGGUAACACGUAAGGGGCGAGCGUUGUUCGGAAUUAUUGGGCGUAAAGGGCGCGUAGGCGGGAAUGCAAGCCUGAUGUGAAAUACCCCGGCUCAACUGGGGGGGCGCGUUGGGAACUGGAGUUCUUGAGUAUAAGAGGGGAUGUUGGAAUUCCAGGUGUAGGGGUGAAAUCUGUAGAUAUCUGGAAGAACACCGGUGGCGAAGGCGAACAUCUGGCUAUAUACUGACGCUGAGGCGCGAAAGCGUGGGGAGCGAACAGGAUUAGAUACCCCAGUAGUC